ACGGGAGGCAGCAGUGGGGAAUAUUGCACAAUGGGGGAAACCCUGAUGCAGCGACGCCGCGUGGAGGAAGAAGGUCUUCGGAUUGUAAACUCCUGUUGUUAGGGACGAUAAUGACGGUACCUAACAAGGAAGCCACGGCUAACUACGUGCCAGCAGCCGCGGUAAAACGUAGGUGGCAAGCGUUGUCCGGAAUUACUGGGUGUAAAGGGAGCGCAGGCGGAACGACAAGUUGGAAGUGAAACCCACAGGCUCAACCUGUGGCCUGCUUCCAAAACUGCCGUUCUUGAGUAGUGUAGAGGUAGGCGGAAUUCCCGGUGUAGCGGUGGAAUGCGUAGAUAUCGGGAGGAACACCAGUGGCGAAGGCGGCUUACUGGACUGUAACUGACACUGAGGCUCGAAAGCGUGGGAAGCAAACAGGAUUAGAUACCCUGGUA
Molecule: ribosomal RNA, 434 nt
Filed under: uncultured Oscillospiraceae bacterium
Lineage: Bacteria; Bacillati; Bacillota; Clostridia; Eubacteriales; Oscillospiraceae
Description: bacterial SSU rRNA
Rfam family: Bacterial small subunit ribosomal RNA
Source: RNAcentral